GGGGGCGAUCCGGUUUCGACGGAGAUAUCUGGCGGAGCCAGGUUGCAUGCCGGGGUCCCGAACCUCGUUAUCAAGCGGGAAACCAUCAAUUGCCAACGAUAACUUGGCUCUGGCUGCAUAACUAAUGCAGCCACGUCCGUUGCGAACUCCCCGCCUGUGGAGACGCUGCGGGCGACGAUAAAGCAGGCUGGCCUCAUGUGGCGCCGGGACGCCUGAGGUAAGAUCUUCCCCGGCUAACCGGAUGGCGUGUUCUGUCGGUGGAAUGGCCAUCCGUCGACGAUCAAACAUCGACUAAGCAUGUAGAGGCCCGGUUUGGCCUGUCUUCGGACGCGGGUUCGAUUCCCGCCGCCUCCACCA
This 357-nucleotide transfer-messenger RNA is filed under the name Gemmatimonadota. RNAcentral describes it as "JAJRTS01 sp019456185 Standard tmRNA". It matches the Rfam family "transfer-messenger RNA". Rfam says of the family: Bacterial tmRNA, also known as 10Sa RNA or SsrA, is named for its dual tRNA and mRNA-like properties. Its role is to liberate the mRNA from a stalled ribosome. The record is from RNAcentral. Lineage: Bacteria; Pseudomonadati. RNAcentral also lists the same sequence under 2 other names.